UCCCUGGUGGUCCAAGGGCUAAGACUCUGCGCUCCCAACGCAGAAGGUCCGGUUCAAGCCCUGGCCAGGGAU
RNAcentral lists this transfer RNA (72 nucleotides) under Ovis aries (sheep). It matches the Rfam family "tRNA". From Rfam's summary of the family: Transfer RNA (tRNA) molecules are approximately 80 nucleotides in length. Lineage: Eukaryota; Metazoa; Chordata; Mammalia; Artiodactyla; Bovidae. The record is from Rfam by way of RNAcentral.